Molecule: ribosomal RNA, 301 nt
Filed under: uncultured bacterium
Lineage: Bacteria
Description: partial 16S ribosomal RNA
Rfam family: Bacterial small subunit ribosomal RNA
Source: RNAcentral
CAGCCGCCGCGGUAAAACGAAGGGUGCAAGCGUUAAUCGGAAUUACUGGGCGUAAAGCGUGCGUAGGCGGUGAGUUAAGUCUGCUGUGAAAUCCCCGGGCUCAACCUGGGAAUGGCAGUGGAUACUGGCUCGCUAGAGUGUGUCAGAGGAUGGUGGAAUUCCCGGUGUAGCGGUGAAAUGCGUAGAGAUCGGGAGGAACAUCAGUGGCGAAGGCGGCCAUCUGGGACAACACUGACGCUGAGGCACGAAAGCGUGGGGAGCAAACAGGAUUAGAGACCCGUGUAGUCCCUGUCUCUUAUAC